Molecule: transfer RNA, 87 nt
Filed under: Phycisphaerae bacterium
Lineage: Bacteria; Pseudomonadati; Planctomycetota; Phycisphaerae
Description: tRNA-Ser
Rfam family: tRNA
About the family: Transfer RNA (tRNA) molecules are approximately 80 nucleotides in length. Their secondary structure includes four short double-helical elements and three loops (D, anti-codon, and T loops).
Source: RNAcentral
GGUAGGGUGUCCGAGUGGCUGAAGGAGGCGGUCUUGAAAACCGCUGUGGGCGGAAGUCCACCGUGGGUUCGAAUCCCACCCCUACCG